Molecule: long non-coding RNA, 231 nt
Filed under: Ricinus communis (castor bean)
Lineage: Eukaryota; Viridiplantae; Streptophyta; Magnoliopsida; Malpighiales; Euphorbiaceae
Description: long non-coding RNA (RCOM_LNC002215)
Source: RNAcentral
AGCCAUAUUGGGUUUAAUUAGGGACAUUUGAAAAGCCCAAGAAUUUCAACCCAAUAAGGCAUCCAUAGAGGCCCAAGGAAUAAUAUUUAACUUGUUUUUGUGUUAAUAACAAUUAGGGUUACAUGUAGCCACCAUAUACAACUUAAUAGGGUAAUUAAUACCAAGUAAUGGCUAUUACUGUGGGUAGUGGUUACUAAGGCCAUUUAAGAGUAAAAGUAAUCCUAUGUGUGU